UAUAUAUGUGUGUGUAUAUGUAUAUGUGUAUAUAUAAGAUAGCAGUACUUUUAAACAAAUGGAGGUUUUAAAAAUACAUAGGGAUUAAGGAGAGAAUGCAGGUAACUUGUUUUUCUUUGGUUUUUACCAUAUAUUGGGGCUGAUGUGUACUGUAGUCCUUGCUGCUGCCCAGUAGUGAUGGGAGUGAGCGCAGGACUUAUCUUUCUGCAAGAUAGCAGUACUGUAUAUUAGAAAAGAAAUGACUCAUAGGUUGUACCUGAUAGACCUACUUAAAUCUUUUUACUUUAUUCUUUCUGUUGCAUAGAAGUAUAAGUUUAUUACUCUGUUUUAUUGUAAGUUAUUUCACAUGGGAACUGUGUGCCUGGAAUGAUUGUUGCUUUAAAAAUACUAUAAGCCCACUACACUUAUUAUGAGAGUGGGAUAGUGUAAAUGUGUUUGUACAUUGUUUGCAUGAUGAGCUCAGUAUAUUUUAUAACUGAGACAAAAAGUCACUUCAUUAGUAUUUGAAAGUUAAUUCCCCAUAUGGGAUUAAUUGUAUAGAAACACCAAUCAGCACAUCUUCCCUGCCCUGUGUGUUUGUUGCAAAGGAUCCAUACUAAAUAUGAUUUAUGUUUGAAAAUAACAGAGCAACAUUUACAUUUUCAGCGGUCCAACACAUGCUUCAUUUUGCACUGUAAACUAACCUUUUUAUUGCAACAGGUUCCUUUUAAAUGAUCCAGUGUAAUAACUACUGCUUGUGUCUUCUAUGUCUCACAUUAUGUGUUAUUUUUAAAUUGUGGUAUAUAGCCUGAAUCAGACAUCAUGGACAAAAGGUUUUUACCUGUGUUACUAAGGGCUCUUGGAGACUGACCGGUCUAAAGGUUUGCCAUGCCUUUAAAACAUGGUAUAGUAUAAAUUUUUUAAGUCUCUGAGAGUUCUGAAAGAUUCAGGUGAAACCAUGUCUGUUUAAUCUGGUCCAGAUGUUUGUUCAAUUUCUAUAGGAUUUAAGUUGAUGCAGCAUCAUCUCAGAUUAGUUAAUGGUAGUUUCAUACAAAUAGUUGAGUUAUGAGCGCGCUAUAUAAAUGGAUCCUUUCUUUAAAUACAAUACUAUAGUAGAUUAAAGUAAUGAAGUUAAUUAAGAAAAUGUAUACAUAAGAAUCCCUAAAAUAAAUCUAAACUAAAAUUGGUAUACCUUCCAAUAAUAUGUUCUGAAUACAGCUGUUUAUUCUGUGUAAAUGGUGACUGUGAUAAUGUGUGAUAAGUGUGCAGUUUAACUUG
Molecule: non-coding RNA, 1257 nt
Organism: Pelobates cultripes (western spadefoot toad)
Lineage: Eukaryota; Metazoa; Chordata; Amphibia; Anura; Pelobatidae
Source: the annotation of a GenBank genome assembly